GAUGAACGCUGGCGGCGUGCCUAAUACAUGCGAGUCAAGCGAACGGACGAGAAGCUUGCUUUUCUGAUGUUAGCGGCGGACGGGUGAGUAACACGUGGAUAACCUACCUAUAAGACUGGGAUAACUUCGGGAAACCGGAGCUAAUACCGGAUAAUAUUUUGAACCGCAUGGUUCAAAAGUGAAAGACGGUCUUGCUGUCACUUAUAGAUGGAUCCGCGCUGCAUUAGCUAGUUGGUAAGGUAACGGCUUACCAAGGCAACGAUGCAUAGCCGACCUGAGAGGGUGAUCGGCCACACUGGAACUGAGACACGGUCCAGACUCCUACGGGAGGCAGCAGUAGGGAAUCUUCCGCAAUGGGCGAAAGCCUGACGGAGCAACGCCGCGUGAGUGAUGAAGGUCUUCGGAUCGUAAAACUCUGUUAUUAGGGAAGAACAUAUGUGUAAGUAACUGUGCACAUCUUGACGGUACCUAAUCAGAAAGCCACGGCUAACUACGUG
Molecule: ribosomal RNA, 497 nt
Filed under: uncultured bacterium
Lineage: Bacteria
Description: partial 16S ribosomal RNA
Rfam family: Bacterial small subunit ribosomal RNA
Source: RNAcentral